ACAGCAGUAGUCUACCCCAGAUUUCUGAUUUCGACUCAGAAGACCUUAUUAAUAAGCCGCUGUA
Molecule: transfer RNA, 64 nt
Filed under: Achalinus meiguensis (Sichuan odd-scaled snake)
Lineage: Eukaryota; Metazoa; Chordata; Lepidosauria; Squamata; Xenodermidae
Description: tRNA-Arg
Source: RNAcentral